CACCGGCAGCCCAAGUGAUGGCCGAUAUUAUUGGGCCUAAAGCGUCCGUAGCUGGCCGCACAAGUUCGUCGGGAAAUUUACUCGCUUAACGAGUGGGCGUCCGGCGAAAACUGUGCGGCUUGGGACCGGAAGAUCCAAGGGGUACGUCCGGGGUAGGAGUGAAAUCCCGUAAUCCUGGACGGACCACCGAUGGCGAAAGCACCUUGGAAGGACGGAUCCGACAGUGAGGGACGAAAGCUAGGGUCUCGAACCGG
RNAcentral lists this ribosomal RNA (254 nucleotides) under uncultured archaeon. RNAcentral describes it as "partial 16S ribosomal RNA". It matches the Rfam family "Archaeal small subunit ribosomal RNA", at positions 474 to 727 of the family's 1478-position model. The record is from RNAcentral.